GAUGAACGCUGGCGGCGUGCCUAAUACAUGCAAGUCGAGCGAACGGACGAGAAGCUUGCUUCUCUGAUGUUAGCGGCGGACGGGUGAGUAACACGUGUAUAACCUACCUAUAAGACUGGGAUCACUUCGGGAAACCGGAGCUAAUACCGGAUAAUAUUUUGAACCGCAUGGUUCAAAAGUGAAAUACGGUCUUGCUGUCACUUAUAGAUGGAUCCGCGCUGCAUUAGCUAGUUGGUAAGGUAACGGCUUACCAAGGCAACGAUGCAUAGCCGACCUGAGAGGGUGAUCGGCCACACUGGAACUGAGACACGGUCCAGACUACUACGGGAGGCAGCAGUAGGGAAUAUUCCGCAAUGGGCGAAAGCAUGACGGAGCAACGCCGCGUGAGUGAUGAAGGUCUUCGGAUCGUAAAACUCUGUUAUUAGGGAAGAACAUAUGUGUAAGUAACUGUGCACAUCUUGACGGUACCUAAUCAGAAAGCCACGGCUAACUACGUG
RNAcentral lists this ribosomal RNA (497 nucleotides) under uncultured bacterium. RNAcentral's name for it is "partial 16S ribosomal RNA". It matches the Rfam family "Bacterial small subunit ribosomal RNA", at positions 28 to 507 of the family's 1533-position model. The record is from RNAcentral.